Molecule: long non-coding RNA, 674 nt
Organism: Dicentrarchus labrax (European seabass)
Lineage: Eukaryota; Metazoa; Chordata; Actinopteri; Moronidae
Exons: 2
Source: RefSeq, a predicted model, not a curated record
AAGGUAGUUGCUGCUCCCUCCACUAGAAGAGUGGUGUGUAUGUGCCAGAUUCUAGUUGGAUAAAUUGUUCAUGUAACUCGCAGUAGGAACUGGAACAUGGUGUCUGUUCCCAUGACCUAGUCUUCUGGCUACUGCUGUUUUUGCCCUUCUACAAAUGUAUUUAUUGUAUAUGGUUACCUUGUUUUACUGUGUAGAUUGUUAAUUUCUGAUAGUUGGUUUGUGUUUUCUUGGUUAAUUUAGUUGUCGGAUUUAUUUAUCAUCUUUCAUAAACCAAACUUGUGAGUUAAUGAUAUAGUGGAGCUCUUUUUAGUGUUUGUACAGGUGGGCUGUCAUAGGCUUACAGGUGGUGGGUUACUGGGUGGAGGGUUUCCCCCUGUCUGGGUUCUAUGUGCAUGCUUACGUUGCUGUGUAUUCUAACUAUGUGCUUUAUUGUUUUGCAGUGUGUGUGAUCUCUUCUUCCCUGUACCUACUGGUGGUGGUGACCCCCCUUUUCUCUCACUCCCUCAUUCCUGUAGGCCUCCCUGACAGCCCCCCUCCCCCUUGUACUGGUAAUUACCUGUUUAGUGAAUAUAAGUAUAUUUUGGUAAUAAAUCGUAAAUUUUAACCUAUCCCAAAUGGUUUUUUGAGAGUGACAUUAAAUCUGUGUAAAUAAAUGUAGUGGUCGAAACUGGAAA